AUUGAACGCUGGCGGCAGGCCUAACACAUGCAAGUCGAGCGGAUGAAGGGAGCUUGCUCCUGGAUUCAGCGGCGGACGGGUGAGUAAUGCCUAGGAAUCUGCCUGGUAGUGGGGGAUAACGUCCGGAAACGGGCGCUAAUACCGCAUACGUCCUGAGGGAGAAAGUGGGGGAUCUUCGGACCUCACGCUAUCAGAUGAGCCUAGGUCGGAGUAGCUAGUUGGUGGGGUAAAGGCCUACCAAGGCGACGAUCCGUAACUGGUCUGAGAGGAUGAUCAGUCACACUGGAACUGGGACACGGUCCAGACUCCUACGGGAGGCAGCAGUGGGGAAUAUUGGACAAUGGGCGAAAGCCUGAUCCAGCCAUGCCGCGUGUGUGAAGAAGGUCUUCGGAUUGUAAAGCACUUUAAGUGGGGAGGAAGGGCAGUAAGUUAAUACCUUGCUGUUUUGACGUUACCAACAGAAUAAGCACCGGCUAACUUCGUG
Molecule: ribosomal RNA, 484 nt
Filed under: uncultured bacterium
Lineage: Bacteria
Description: partial 16S ribosomal RNA
Rfam family: Bacterial small subunit ribosomal RNA
Source: RNAcentral